Molecule: ribosomal RNA, 1768 nt
Filed under: sea squirt metagenome
Description: bacterial LSU rRNA
Rfam family: Bacterial large subunit ribosomal RNA
Source: RNAcentral
CAGGUUGAAGGUUGGGUAACACUAACUGGAGGACCGAACCGACUAAUGUUGAAAAAUUAGCGGAUGACUUGUGGCUGGGGGUGAAAGGCCAAUCAAACCGGGAGAUAGCUGGUUCUCCCCGAAAGCUAUUUAGGUAGCGCCUCGUGAAUUCAUCUCCGGGGGUAGAGCACUGUUUCGGCAAGGGGGUCAUCCCGACUUACCAACCCGAUGCAAACUGCGAAUACCGGAGAAUGUUAUCACGGGAGACACACGGCGGGUGCUAACGUCCGUCGUGAAGAGGGAAACAACCCAGACCGCCAGCUAAGGUCCCAAAGUCAUGGUUAAGUGGGAAACGAUGUGGGAAGGCCCAGACAGCCAGGAUGUUGGCUUAGAAGCAGCCAUCAUUUAAAGAAAGCGUAAUAGCUCACUGGUCGAGUCGGCCUGCGCGGAAGAUGUAACGGGGCUAAACCAUGCACCGAAGCUGCGGCAGCGACACUAUGUGUUGUUGGGUAGGGGAGCGUUCUGUAAGCCUGUGAAGGUGGCCUGUGAGGUAUGCUGGAGGUAUCAGAAGUGCGAAUGCUGACAUAAGUAACGAUAAAGCGGGUGAAAAGCCCGCUCGCCGGAAGACCAAGGGUUCCUGUCCAACGUUAAUCGGGGCAGGGUGAGUCGACCCCUAAGGCGAGGCCGAAAGGCGUAGUCGAUGGGAAACAGGUUAAUAUUCCUGUACUUGGUGUUACUGCGAAGGGGGGACGGAGAAGGCUAUGUUGGCCGGGCGACGGUUGUCCCGGUUUAAGCGUGUAGGCUGGUUUUCCAGGCAAAUCCGGAAAAUCAAGGCUGAGGCGUGAUGACGAGGCACUACGGUGCUGAAGCAACAAAUGCCCUGCUUCCAGGAAAAGCCUCUAAGCAUCAGGUAACAUCAAAUCGUACCCCAAACCGACACAGGUGGUCAGGUAGAGAAUACCAAGGCGCUUGAGAGAACUCGGGUGAAGGAACUAGGCAAAAUGGUGCCGUAACUUCGGGAGAAGGCACGCUGAUAUGUAGGUGAAGUCCCUCGCGGAUGGAGCUGAAAUCAGUCGAAGAUACCAGCUGGCUGCAACUGUUUAUUAAAAACACAGCACUGUGCAAACACGAAAGUGGACGUAUACGGUGUGACGCCUGCCCGGUGCCGGAAGGUUAAUUGAUGGGGUCAGCGCAAGCGAAGCUCUUGAUCGAAGCCCCGGUAAACGGCGGCCGUAACUAUAACGGUCCUAAGGUAGCGAAAUUCCUUGUCGGGUAAGUUCCGACCUGCACGAAUGGCGUAAUGAUGGCCAGGCUGUCUCCACCCGAGACUCAGUGAAAUUGAACUCGCUGUGAAGAUGCAGUGUACCCGCGGCAAGACGGAAAGACCCCGUGAACCUUUACUAUAGCUUGACACUGAACAUUGAGCCUUGAUGUGUAGGAUAGGUGGGAGGCUUUGAAGUGUGGACGCCAGUCUGCAUGGAGCCGGCCUUGAAAUACCACCCUUUAAUGUUUGAUGUUCUAACGUUGACCCGUGAUCCGGGGUUGCGGACAGUGUCUGGUGGGUAGUUUGACUGGGGCGGUCUCCUCCUAAAGAGUAACGGAGGAGCACGAAGGUUGGCUAAUCCUGGUCGGACAUCAGGAGGUUAGUGCAAUGGCAUAAGCCAGCUUGACUGCGAGCGUGACGGCGCGAGCAGGUGCGAAAGCAGGUCAUAGUGAUCCGGUGGUUCUGAAUGGAAGGGCCAUCGCUCAACGGAUAAAAGGUACUCCGGGGAUAACAGGCUGAUACCGC